CCUACGGGGGGCUGCAGUGGGGAAUUUUGGACAAUGGGCGCAAGCCUGAUCCAGCAAUGCCGCGUGCAGGAUGAAGGCCUUCGGGUUGUAAACUGCUUUUGUACGGAACGAAACGGCUCUCUCUAAUACAGGGGGCUAAUGACGGUACCGUAAGAAUAAGCACCGGCUAACUACGUGCCAGCAGCCGCGGUAAUACGUAGCGUGCAAGCGUUAAUCGGAAUGUCCGCGGGUGGAUAUUGAGCAGACGGGUGAAAUCCCCGGGCUCAACCUGGGACCUGCAUUUGUGACUGUAUAGCUAGAGUACGGCAGAGGGGGAUGGAAUUCCGCGUGUAGCAGUGAAAUGCGUAGAUAUGCGGAGGAACACCGAUGGCGAAGGCAAUCCCCUGGGCCUGUACUGACGCUCAUGCACGAAAGCGUGGGGAGCAAACAGGAUUAGAUACCCCAGUAGUC
RNAcentral lists this ribosomal RNA (450 nucleotides) under uncultured bacterium. RNAcentral's name for it is "partial 16S ribosomal RNA". It matches the Rfam family "Bacterial small subunit ribosomal RNA", at positions 338 to 795 of the family's 1533-position model. The record is from RNAcentral.